GUCUAAAAGAAUCGGGCCUUUGACUUUGCUCAUGCUAGGACGAGGUUCUCCUCCUGUCCCUAUCAUGGCUGUGGGGGCACAUUAGGGUAUUGUUCGGCCUCUCCCCCCAUUCGGUCUAAAAGAACCGGGCCUUUGACUUUGCUCAUGCUAGGGCAAGGUUCUCCUCCUAUCCCUAGCAUGGCUGUGGGGACACAUUAGGGCAUUGUUCGGCCUCUCCCCCUAUCCGGUCUAAAAGAACCAGGCC
RNAcentral lists this long non-coding RNA (244 nucleotides) under Elaeis guineensis (African oil palm). RNAcentral's name for it is "long non-coding RNA (EGUI_LNC012494)". Lineage: Eukaryota; Viridiplantae; Streptophyta; Magnoliopsida; Arecales; Arecaceae. The record is from RNAcentral.